This 387-nucleotide ribosomal RNA is filed under the name Boophis andohahela. RNAcentral describes it as "partial 16S ribosomal RNA". It matches the Rfam family "Bacterial large subunit ribosomal RNA", at positions 2037 to 2590 of the family's 2925-position model. Lineage: Eukaryota; Metazoa; Chordata; Amphibia; Anura; Mantellidae. The record is from RNAcentral.
UGAAACUGAUCUCUCCGUGAAGAAGCGGGGAUACAAAUAUAAGACGAGAAGACCCCAUGGAGCUUUAAACCCAACGACACCCAUUUUCUUUAUACCCUAGUAUUCAUUUGGCUAUGUUUGAUUGGUUUUAGGUUGGGGUGACCACGGAGCAUAAAAUAACCUCCACGAAGAAGAGACUAAUAAUCUUUAUCAAAGAAGUACACUUCUAAGAAUUAACAAAUUAAUUUCCAAUGAUCCGAUAUUCGAUCAACGAACCAAGUUACCCUGGGGAUAACAGCGCAAUCCACCUCAAGAGCUCCUAUCGACAGGUGGGUUUACGACCUCGAUGUUGGAUCAGGAUAUCCCAGUGGUGUAGCAGCUACUAAAGGUUCGUUUGUUCAACGAUUA